This 4069-nucleotide long non-coding RNA is filed under the name Brassica rapa (field mustard). RNAcentral's name for it is "long non-coding RNA (BRAP_LNC001641)". Lineage: Eukaryota; Viridiplantae; Streptophyta; Magnoliopsida; Brassicales; Brassicaceae. The record is from RNAcentral.
CUCCCCUGUUUCUGAAUGAUGAGAUUUGUAUCACUCGAGAGGAAGCUUGUUCAUCUUAAGAAACUUGUACUCUCUAUAGACAUAAGGCUUGAACUUUGGAGCAUCAUCAACAACUAGCUCCGGCAAAGGUCCGACCACGUGAUCAAGGUUCGGUUCCGCGAAAACCGGCCAAGAGAGUCUCGUCCUCACCAUAUCCAUCGUCGCUCUAUGCUCUCCACUCUUAUACCUCCCAUUGCUCAUCCUCUACAAAACUCACAUUAUUUUUGAAAACUAUUGUAUAAAAUGUUAUUAAAUUUAGAUAGAAACAUAUAAAUUAAAACUUCCUUAAAUAUAUCUUUUAUUAAAAAGAUAUUAGACCAUUAAUUUCAUGGACCGUGCACAUAGCUAAGCAGGCCUUGUACACAUCCCCAACAAUCAAAACCAAACAAACAUGACUUAUCUGAAAAUGUUCAAAACUGUAUCUCUACCUUGAUUUGGUCGGCGAUGAUGACAACGAUCCCUGAGUCAUCAUACUUGACGUCGACCCACUUGUUGUCCUGGUACGCCUGAAGUCCGUCUACCUCAUCAGCGAUCAAGAACGUGAUUCCAUUGAGAUCAGUGUGAUGAGGAGCUCCGUAGAGCAACUCAAGUUUUGGACACGGCGGAUAGAAGAUGAUUUUCAUUAGAUACUCCACCUUUUCUCCACCAAGACCUUCCUUCAAUGCAUCACGAUGUAACCCUAGUCCUUCCGAUAACCAUCCCAUGAUUUUCUCAGAUAGCUUCUUUAUCUCCUUUGCAUACUCCUCAUUCACCUCCCUGUUACAAAAUAAAUAAUCACUUUUUUUUUUCAUUUUAUCGAGUGUUUAAGAUUAAUACACACAGAUUAAAAAAGUGUAAACUUUUAUUCAAUUAAUCUUAAUUAGAUAAAAAUAUCAACCAAUAGUAUUCAACCAAUUCAAAUAUUUUCAAUUAAUGUUUCUUAAAAGUAUACAACUUUUCAACAUUAACUACUAAAAAUACCUUAAAAUUUUAGAAAAUCUAACAUUUUGGAACAAAAAAUAAAUCUAGAAAAUCUUACUUUGAGGAAUAGAGGAACAAUUACAACAUUUUAAUACUUGUACCUGUAAUCUGGAGAGUUCUUAGGCCAGAAUCUGUAGUUGAUUCUUGACGGUGGCCAGACCCUGUGAAAGAGAUGAUCAGCCCAUGUUUUUCUACCUUCUCCAUCUUUCUUGUAAUCCGUUGUGUAUCCUUCUAAGUCUGUUGAAUCAGCUGGCCUCGCUACGGCUUCCUUCUCCUUCUCAGGCAGCUCAAAGAACUCAGUCCCAAGUUCUUUCAACCGCCGCAUCAGCUCGAUGGGAACCCCGUGGUUAACCACCUGGAACAUCCCCCAUGUCUCGCUGGCUUUUACCACCGCACGUGCCACUAGGUCUUCGUUUGGGUUACUUAGAUCGACGAUAGGAAUAUCUACCGGAGAUGUUCCUUGGAACUUUGAAGGGACUGAUUCGGCCAUGUUUUUUUUUUCCUUUCUCACGAUGGGAAUAUUGUUUAUUUAGAUGUUAGUUGGAGGGUGAAGGUGUAGUAUGGGUUUAUACUUUAUAUAGAUAAGAGUACAUGUGAAUGUAGUAGGUGUAUGACAGUAUGAGUCAUUCGUCAGUCACAUACUCACAUUACUUCACUCUACCACAUUUUUCUAUAUGAUUGGUUAUUUGGUUAUCAGAAUAUUAAAAUGUUUCCAAUGAUUCAAAACUUUUAUCUCUUCCUUUAAUAAUUGAUUGUCAGUGGUGCAAAUAUCUAUGAUGGAUUCUUAAAAUUAUAAAAUAAAAUAUCUUAAAACAGGAAAAGCCCACUCAAUAAUCAUACAUCUGAAAUUUAUCAUUAUAGGUAUUUUAUAAAUUUUGAGAAUCUCUCAUAUAUAUUUGUGGUGAAUAUGCUUUUAGAUUACCUUUGAAUUUUGGAUUUUCGGUACUUAAGUUGAACCAUUUUGUAGGUAAGUCAAUGACAAGAGGAGGUACAUGUGCCCCACCUCAUUGAAAUAUUUAUAAGUUUAAAGAUUAGUCCAAAUUAAUAUAGGACAAUUGUCAAUAAUAACACCUUUUGAAGUUUAUGUCUCAAAAAUAGCAUUAGAAGGAGAAAGUCACAAAAAUGACAUUCAUUAAAGGGUAAAAUAUCCAUAAUACCAUUGGUUUAAAAUUAAAUAAACAAACAAAAAUAAAUAAAAAUAAAUAAAAUAAAAUUUUUUUAUAGUUUCAGAUUACAUGUUUUCAGAUUCGAAAUUUUUAUAAAAAAAUUUUUGAAACUGUUUUUAAAAUUUUUAUUUUUUAUUUUAGUAUUUAUUUUUUAUAAAAUUUUAAACCCUAAUUCCAAAACCCCACCCCUUAACUCUAAACCCUAAGGUUUGGAUUAAUUAACCCAAGGGGUAUAAGUGUAUAUUUACCUCUUUAAUGAAACCUAUUUUUGUGACUUUGAGCAUUGAGUGCUACUUUGGGAACAAAAACUUGGUUUAGUGCUAUUCUAGUCUUUUUCUCAUUAAUAUAUAUGAGGAUAAUUAAUAACAAAAAAAAAACUUUUUCACCAUUGACCAAAUUAACAAAAGUAAUUAAUGUUGUUGGCCGACAAACCAUAUUUUUGAUUAACAUGAAUAUUUAGGAAAUCUUCAAAAGCAUCAAUUUUCUAUUAUUUAUAUGAACUUUAGAAUCAUAUAAUCCAUAUUUCCUUUUGGUUUUUGUUCCUUUUGCAUUUUACGUAGAAAAUAGUAACUCUUCUGCUUUCUUUAUACAGAAAUUCUUGGGUUCACCCCCUAUGGUGAACCUUUAGGUUCACCAACCAAUAGUGUUUGAGUAUUUGAUAUUUGAUAUCUUUUAAAAAAGGAAACAACAUUAAAUUUCCAAAUAAGAUUAUCUUUCUAAAAUAAAACAAUAAAAAUACAUAAAAAUAGUUACAAAAAAUAAAUAAAUAAAUAUUUUUAAGUUUUCAGCAAAAUACUAAACCCUAUAUCCUAAAUCUUAAACCCUAAACCCUAAACCUUAAACUUUGGAUAAACUCUAAACGUUUGAAAAUCCUAAACCCUAAAUCAUACAUUAAAAACUAAAUUUUAAUAACACUAAACCCUAAAUCCUAAUCACUAAACCCUAAACCCUUGGGUAAACCCUGAACCCUUGGAUAAAUCAUCAUAAAUCAUAAACUGUAAAUCAAAAAUAUUUAAAAUUAAACUCUAGAGAUUAUGAUUUAUCCAAGGGUUCAGGGUUUACCCAAGGGUUUAGGUUUUACCCAAGAGUUUAGGGUUUAGUGAUUAGAAUUUAGGGUUUAGUGUUAUUAAAAUUUAGUUUUUAAUGUAUGAUUUAGGGUUUAGGAUUUUCAAACGUUUAGAGUUUAUCCAAAAUUUAAGGUUUAGGGUUUAAGAUUUAGGGUAUAGGGUUUAGUAUUUUGCUGAAGACUUAAAAAUAUUUAUUUAUUUAUUUUUUGUAACUAUUUUUAUGUAUUUUUAUUGUUUUAUUUUAAAAAGAUAAUCUUAUUUGGAAAUUUAAUGUUGUUUCCUUUUUUAAAAGAUAUCAAAUAUCAAAUACUCAAAUACUAUUGGUUGGUGAACCUAUAGGUUCAUCCUAGGGGGUGAACCCAAGAAUUACUCUUCUUUAUACACCGUCACUCUAUGCAACACAUUCUCGCGAUAGUAGGUUAAAUAUAUUGAUAUUAUUCUAGAAUUUUAGUUAAUUAAUUAAGAUAAAUUUGAUAGGCAAAAUAAAUAUCAUUUCUCACAUGGAUAGAUUAAAAGACCGGAGCUUCAGCAUUUAUUUAUAAAAGCAUAUAGUACAUUGAUAAUUAAUUAACAGAAACUUCCAACAUCAAUUAACUGAAACAGUCGUUCAUUGAGAUUAGCGUCAGUCGAUAGGAAGCUUGUUCAUCUUAAGAUACUUGUACUCUCUGUAGACAUAAGGCUUAAACUUAGGAGCAUCGUCAAUAACUAGCUCCGCCAAAGGUCCGACGACAUGAUCAAGGUUCGGUUCCGCGAACACCGGCCACGAGAGUCUCGUCCUUACCGUAUCCAUCGUCACUCUAUGCUCCCCACUCUUAUACCUCCCAUUGCUCAUCCUCU